GGAGCUGGGUCUUUAAAAUAACCACUGUCUCGUUACAGAGUGAAAGUAGCAGUUCCUCCUGAAGGUCAGAGAUUGCAGCAUCUGAGGGCCUCUUCAAAAGAAGACGUAGUUGAUGAAGACGUUCUGGAGCAGGACCAGAAAGACCACGACCAAGCAGCCUUGAGAUCUUAGGCAGCGUCUCCCUCAGACCAAAGAACUACAGACUCUUCACAACCUGCUCAAACUCUUGGUACAGGACCUCACCACACGGGUC
Long non-coding RNA from Amphiprion ocellaris (clown anemonefish), 253 nucleotides. NCBI's taxonomy places the organism in Eukaryota, Metazoa, Chordata, Actinopteri, Pomacentridae. The record is from Ensembl.